Molecule: ribosomal RNA, 433 nt
Filed under: uncultured bacterium
Lineage: Bacteria
Description: partial 16S ribosomal RNA
Rfam family: Bacterial small subunit ribosomal RNA
Source: RNAcentral
AACGAACGCUGGCGGCAUGCCUAAUACAUGCAAGUCGAACGAAACCUUCGGGUCUUGGGUCGCACGGGUGUGUAACGCGAGGGAACCUGCCCUUAGGUUCGGAAUAACUCCCCGAAAGGGAUGCUAAUACCGGAUAAGGUCUUCGGACCAAAGAUUUAUUGCCUUUGGUUGUGCCCGCGUUGGAUAAGAUGGUUGGGAGGGUAAUAGCUCACCAAGGGGACGAUCCAGAGCUGGGUAGAGAGGAUGGUCAGCCACCCUGGGACUGAGACACGGCCGGGACUCCUACGGAAGGGAGCAAUGGGGAAUGGUGCACAACGGGCGAAGGCAUGAUGGUGCAAGGCCGCGAGAGUGAUGAGGGCCUGAGGGUUGUAAAGCUCUUUUACCCGGGAACAUAAUGACGGUACCGGAACAGAAAGCUCCGGCUAACUACGUG